Molecule: ribosomal RNA, 301 nt
Filed under: uncultured bacterium
Lineage: Bacteria
Description: partial 16S ribosomal RNA
Rfam family: Bacterial small subunit ribosomal RNA
Source: RNAcentral
CAGUCGCCGCGGGAAUACGGAGGAUCCAAGCGUUAUCCGGAAUCAUUGGGUUUAAAGGGUCCGUAGGCGGUCUUGUAAGUCAGUGGUGAAAGCCCAUCGCUCAACGGUGGAACGGCCAUUGAUACUGCAGGACUUGAAUUAUUGGGAAGUAACUAGAAUAUGUAGUGUAGCGGUGAAAUGCUUAGAGAUUACAUGGAAUACCAAUUGCGAAGGCAGGUUACUACCAAUUGAUUGACGCUGAUGGACGAAAGCGUGGGUAGCGAACAGGAUUAGAGACCCCGGUAGUCCCUGUCUCUUAUAC